Molecule: ribosomal RNA, 138 nt
Filed under: uncultured eukaryote
Lineage: Eukaryota
Description: partial 18S ribosomal RNA
Rfam family: Eukaryotic small subunit ribosomal RNA
Source: RNAcentral
UGGUGGGUUGCCUUGUCAGGUUGAUUCCGGUAACGAACGAGACCUCAGCCUGCUAAAUAGUCACGUCUGCCUCGGCAGAUGGCCGACUUCUUAGAGGGACUAUUGACGUUUAGUCAAUGGAAGUAUGAGGCAAUAACA